RNAcentral lists this ribosomal RNA (253 nucleotides) under uncultured bacterium. RNAcentral's name for it is "partial 16S ribosomal RNA". It matches the Rfam family "Bacterial small subunit ribosomal RNA", at positions 524 to 776 of the family's 1533-position model. The record is from RNAcentral.
UACGGAGGGUGCAAGCGUUGUCCGGAAUUAUUGGGCGUAAAGAGCGUGUAGGCGGCCAGAUAAGUCCGCUGUGAAAUCUCGAGGCUCAACUUCGAGCUGUCGGUGGAAACUAUCUGGCUAGAGUCCGGAAGAGGAGAAUGGAAUUCCUGGUGUAGCGGUGAAAUGCGCAGAUAUCAGGAGGAACACCCGUAGCGAAGGCGGCACUCUGGGCCGAUACUGACACUGAGGAGCGAAAGCGUGGGGAGCGAACAGG